UCCCUGUUUUCCAGCCAUUAGGCUCUUCAGUAUACCUAAGACAAAGGGACUUGUUCCAAAAAUUCUGCCAUGUUAAUAAACUAAACACUUCAUUUGCCUAAAUUUCACUCCCAAACCCACCUCAAGAACCAGUUUAUCCACAAAAUUACUUUAACCUAAGCAAGAAAAAGCUGUAUAGAGGAGCCCGACAGAGGCAUUGGGGCAAAUGGGUGGCUGAAAUUAUACUUCCACAGAAUAGAAUGAGAGUUUGGUUGGGAACUUACGACUCUGCCGAGGCUGCUGCCUAUGCUUACGACCGCCCCGCCUAGACUCCACUGCGAAUAUGCUAGCCUGAAUUUUCCAAAUCUAAAGGACCCAAGUGAAUUGGGAUUUUGCGAUGGCGCCACAUUGACUGCUCUGACGAAUGCUGUAGAUGCCAAAAUUCAAGCAAUCUGCCAAAAGGUCAGGAGAAAAAAAGCUAAAAAGGCAUCCAAAAAAGGUGAAAAAGUAGAAUAAAAUAAGUUUUAUCAUAAUUCAUCUUCACUGGAAAUGGUUUUGCCAAGUAUUUCUGAAGAUGGGUUUUUGAAGGAUGAGAAUUCACCUUCCUCGGUUUUCUCAAUGGAUUCGGAGCUUGAAUGUUGUUCACUUUCUCGGAUCCCAUCUUGAAUGUUGUUCACUUUUGGCGUGGAUCCCUAACUUACCAGAAUUUGGGGAUGAAAAUUGGUUUGGGAGGAGGUGAAAUGGUUGUCUGAAUGGAGGGAGGCGUGAGGAGAAAGAGGCUUAGGGUUUGGAUUAUUUUGGGUUUCUUUC
This 789-nucleotide long non-coding RNA is filed under the name Olea europaea (common olive). RNAcentral's name for it is "long non-coding RNA (OEUR_LNC010311)". Lineage: Eukaryota; Viridiplantae; Streptophyta; Magnoliopsida; Lamiales; Oleaceae. The record is from RNAcentral.